This is a small nuclear RNA of Cynocephalus volans (Philippine flying lemur), 107 nucleotides long. The record is from RefSeq and is a predicted model, not a curated record. NCBI's taxonomy places the organism in Eukaryota, Metazoa, Chordata, Mammalia, Dermoptera, Cynocephalidae.
GUGCUUGCUUUGGCAGCACAUAUACUAAAAUUGAAGUGAUACAGAGAAGAUUAGCAUGGCCCCUAAGCAAAGAUGACACACAAAUUCGUGAUGCAUUCCAUAUUUAA